AACGCGAUAGCUCAGUUGGCAGACCAUCUGCCCGGUAGGCGGAAAGCGCCGGUUUAAUUCAGGCUCACGUUG
RNAcentral lists this transfer RNA (72 nucleotides) under Fasciola gigantica. It matches the Rfam family "tRNA". Rfam says of the family: Transfer RNA (tRNA) molecules are approximately 80 nucleotides in length. Lineage: Eukaryota; Metazoa; Platyhelminthes; Trematoda; Plagiorchiida; Fasciolidae. The record is from Rfam by way of RNAcentral.